GACGAACGCUGGCGGCGUGCUUAACACAUGCAAGUCGAACGGAAAGGCCCUGCUUGCAGGGUACUCGAGUGGCGAACGGGUGAGUAACACGUGGGUGAUCUGCCCUGCACUUCGGGAUAAGCCUGGGAAACUGGGUCUAAUACCGGAUAGGAGCCAUUUUUAGUGUGAUGGUUGGAAAGUUUUUUUCGGUGUAGGAUGAGCUCGCGGCCUAUCAGCUUGUUGGUGGGGUAAUGGCCUACCAAGGCGGCGACGGGUAGCCGGCCUGAGAGGGUGGACGGCCACAUUGGGACUGAGAUACGGCCCAGACUCCUACGGGAGGCAGCAGUGGGGAAUAUUGCACAAUGGGCGCAAGCCUGAUGCAGCGACGCCGCGGGGGGGAGGACGGCCUUCGGGUUGUAAACUCCUUUCGCUAGGGACGAAGCUUUUUGUGACGGUACCUAGAUAAGAAGCACCGGCUAACUACGUG
RNAcentral lists this ribosomal RNA (466 nucleotides) under uncultured bacterium. RNAcentral describes it as "partial 16S ribosomal RNA". It matches the Rfam family "Bacterial small subunit ribosomal RNA", at positions 28 to 507 of the family's 1533-position model. The record is from RNAcentral.